AGGCUCGUCAAUCGAAAUGAGUACAAUUUAAAUCCUUUAACGAGUACCAAUUGGAGGGCAAGUCUGGUGCCAGCAGCCGCGGUAAUUCCAGCUCCAAUAGCGAAUAUUAAAUUUGUUGCAGUUAAAAAGCUCGUAGUUGGAUCCAAGGUUAGGCAUGCCUGUCUGUUCUUAGUGGCAUGACUGUGUGUGUCUGCCUUUAUUAGUUGAAUGUUCCUUAUGGUGGUCUUCAUCGACUGCUAUGAUGUGCUCAACACGUUUACCUUGAAAAAAUCAGAGCGAUCAAGGCAGGCCUUCGUGCUUGUAUGAGGUUGCAAGGAAUAAUAGAAUAGGACUUCGGUUCUAUUUUGUUGGUUUUGAGAAUUGAAGUAAUGAACAAUAGAGACAGUCGGGGGCAUUUGUAUGGUGGCGUUAGAGGUGAAAUUCUGAGAUCGUCGCCAGACAAACUACUGCGAAAGCAUUUGCCAAGGAUGUCUUCAUUAAUCAAGAACGAAAGUCAGAGGUUCGAAGACGAUCAGAUACCGUCCUAGUUCUGACCAUAAACGAUGCCGACCUACAAUCGGGGGUGGUUUAUUAUAUUGACCCUCCCGGCUGUCCUCAGGAAACUUUAAGUUGGUUCUGGGGGGAAUAUGGUCUCAAGACUGAAACUUAAAGGAAUUGACGGAAGGGCACCACCAGGAGUGGAGCCUGCGGCUUAAUUUGACCCAACACGGGGAAUCUCACCCGGUCCGGACACUGGUAGGAUGGACAGAUUGAUAGCUCUUUCUUGAUUCAGUGGGUGGUGGUGCAUGGCCGUUCUUAGUUGGUGGAGUGAUUUGUCUGGUUAAUUCCGAUAACGAACGAGACUCUGUCCUGCUAAAUAGUCCAGUGGCAUCAAUCACUAUGUGAUUACAGCUGCUGUUACUUCUUAGAGGGAUUCGCGGAUUUAAACCGCAAGAAAUAGAGCAAUAACAGGUCUGUGAUGCCCUUAGAUGUCCGGGGCCGCACGCGCGCUACAUUGACAGUAGAAGCGAGUAUUUCUACCUGGUUCGAAAGAAUUGGGAAAUCUUCGAAUUACUGUCUCCACAGGGAUUGAGGUUUGCAAUUUUGCCUCAUGAACGAGGAAUUCCCAGUAGGCGCAAGUCAUCAGCUUGCGUCGAUUACGUCCCUGCCCUUUGUACACACCGCCCGUCGCUACUACCGAUUGAGUGCAUUAGUGAGGACCUCGGAUUGAGAACAUAGUGGCGCAAGUUACUUUGUUUUCGAAAAGUGGUUCAAAUUUGUGCAUCUAGAGAUAGUAAAAGUCGU
Molecule: ribosomal RNA, 1284 nt
Filed under: metagenome
Description: SSU rRNA
Rfam family: Eukaryotic small subunit ribosomal RNA
Source: RNAcentral